UACGUAGGGUGCAAGCGUUAUUCGGAAUCACUGGGCGUAAAGGGCGCGCAGGCGGUUUUGUAAGUCUAAAGUGAAAUCCUUGGGCUUAAACCAAGGGUUGCUUUAGAUACUGCAAAACUCGAGUUCGGGAAAAGCAAGCGGAAUGCCUGGUGAAGGGGUGAAAUCCGUAGAUAUCAGGAAGAACACCAGUGGCGAAAGCGGCUUGCUAGAACGCAACUGACGGUUAGGCGCGAAAGCGUGGGGAGCAAACAGG
RNAcentral lists this ribosomal RNA (253 nucleotides) under uncultured bacterium. Its description in RNAcentral is "partial 16S ribosomal RNA". It matches the Rfam family "Bacterial small subunit ribosomal RNA", at positions 524 to 776 of the family's 1533-position model. The record is from RNAcentral.